GAUGAACGCUGGCGGCGUGCCUAAUACAUGCAAGUCGAGCGAACAGGCGAGGAGCUUGCUCCUCUGACGUUAGCGGCGGACGGGUGAGUAACACGUGGAUAACCUACCUAUAAGACUGGGAUAACUUCGGGAAACCGGAGCUAAUACCGGAUAAUAUAUUGAACCGCAUGGUUCAAUAGUGAAAGACGGUUUUGCUGUCACUUAUAGAUGGAUCCGCGCCGCAUUAGCUAGUUGGUAAGGUAACGGCUUACCAAGGCAACGAUGCGUAGCCGACCUGAGAGGGUGAUCGGCCACACUGGAACUGAGACACGGUCCAGACUCCUACGGGAGGCAGCUGUAGGGAAUCUUCCGCAAUGGGCGAAAGCCUGACGGAGCAACGCCGCGUGAGUGAUGAAGGUCUUCGGAUCGUAAAACUCUGUUAUUAGGGAAGAACAAAUGUGUAAGUAACUAUGCACGUCUUGACGGUACCUAAUCAGAAAGCCACGGCUAACUACGUG
Molecule: ribosomal RNA, 497 nt
Filed under: uncultured bacterium
Lineage: Bacteria
Description: partial 16S ribosomal RNA
Rfam family: Bacterial small subunit ribosomal RNA
Source: RNAcentral